This 85-nucleotide microRNA precursor is filed under the name Branchiostoma floridae (Florida lancelet). RNAcentral's name for it is "mir-2060 microRNA precursor family". It matches the Rfam family "mir-2060 microRNA precursor family". Lineage: Eukaryota; Metazoa; Chordata; Leptocardii; Amphioxiformes; Branchiostomatidae. The record is from Rfam by way of RNAcentral.
GUUUGUGUGUGGAAAGUGUUCAGCACCAAGGACAGGUGUGUUUUGUGUGGAAGGUGUUCAGCACCGAGGACAGGUGUGUUUUGUG